UACGGAGGGUCCGAGCGUUAAUCGGAAUUACUGGGCGUAAAGCGUGCGCAGGCGGUUUGUUAAGCGAGAUAUGAAAGCCCUGGGCUCAACCUAGGAAUAGCAUUUCGAACUGGCGAACUAGAGUCUUGUAGAGGGGGGUAGAAUUUCAGGUGUAGCGGUGAAAUGCGUAGAGAUCUGGAGGAAUACCGGUGGCGAAGGCGGCCCCCUGGACAAAGACUGACGCUCAUGCACGAAAGCGUGGGGAGCAAAC
This 250-nucleotide ribosomal RNA is filed under the name uncultured bacterium. RNAcentral describes it as "partial 16S ribosomal RNA". It matches the Rfam family "Bacterial small subunit ribosomal RNA", at positions 524 to 773 of the family's 1533-position model. The record is from RNAcentral. RNAcentral also lists the same sequence under 1 other name.